RNAcentral lists this small RNA (98 nucleotides) under Vibrio stylophorae. The record is from RNAcentral. Lineage: Bacteria; Pseudomonadati; Pseudomonadota; Gammaproteobacteria; Vibrionales; Vibrionaceae.
AGUAUUGGUAUUCAUUGUAACAUGGAUAAAUUAGCGCAAGGCUCAGCAAUGAGCCAUUCCCCUAGGCUCGAAACAGGACUGGUUUCGAGCUAUUUUUU